RNAcentral lists this ribosomal RNA (253 nucleotides) under uncultured bacterium. Its description in RNAcentral is "partial 16S ribosomal RNA". It matches the Rfam family "Bacterial small subunit ribosomal RNA", at positions 524 to 776 of the family's 1533-position model. The record is from RNAcentral.
UACGAAGGGGGCAAGCGUUGUUCGGAAUUAUUGGGCGUAAAGGGUCCGUAGGCGGUGCGGUAAGUCGGGAGUGAAAUCUCUGGGCUUAACUCAGAGGCUGCUUCCGAAACUACCGUGCUAGAGUGCGAGAGAGGCAAGUGGAAUUGCGGGUGUAGCGGUGAAAUGCGUAGAUAUCCGCAGGAACAUCCGAGGCGAAAGCGGCUUGCUGGAUCGCAACUGACGCUGAGGGACGAAAGCUAGGGGAGCAAACAGG